RNAcentral lists this ribosomal RNA (496 nucleotides) under uncultured bacterium. RNAcentral's name for it is "partial 16S ribosomal RNA". It matches the Rfam family "Bacterial small subunit ribosomal RNA", at positions 28 to 507 of the family's 1533-position model. The record is from RNAcentral.
GAUGAACGCUGGCGGCGUGCCUAAUACAUGCAAGUCGAGCGAACAGACGAGGGCUUGCUCCUUUGACGUUAGCGGCGGACGGGUGAGUAACACGUAGGUAACCUACCUAUAAGACUGGGAUAACUUCGGGAAACCGGAGCUAAUACCGGAUAAUAUUUCGAACCGCAUGGUUCGAUAGUGAAAGAUGGCUUUGCUAUCACUUAUAGAUGGACCUGCGCCGUAUUAGCUAGUUGGUAAGGUAACGGCUUACCAAGGCAACGAUACGUAGCCGACCUGAGAGGGUGAUCGGCCACACUGGAACUGAGACACGGUCCAGACUCCUACGGGAGGCAGCAGUAGGGAAUCUUCCGCAAUGGGCGAAAGCCUGACGGAGCAACGCCGCGUGAGUGAUGAAGGUCUUCGGAUCGUAAAACUCUGUUAUUAGGGAAGAACAAACGUGUAAGUAACUGUGCACGUCUUGACGGUACCUAAUCAGAAAGCCACGGCUAACUACGUG